RNAcentral lists this ribosomal RNA (253 nucleotides) under uncultured bacterium. RNAcentral's name for it is "partial 16S ribosomal RNA". It matches the Rfam family "Bacterial small subunit ribosomal RNA", at positions 524 to 776 of the family's 1533-position model. The record is from RNAcentral.
UACAGAGGUCCCAAGCGUUGUUCGGAUUUACUGGGCGUAAAGGGUGCGCAGGCGGCCGUGUGUGUGAGGCGUGAAAGCCCGGGGCUUAACCCCGGAAUUGCACCUCAAACUACAUGGCUAGAGCAUUGGAGAGGGUAGCAGAAUUCAUGGUGUAGCAGUGAAAUGCGUAGAUAUCAUGAGGAAUACCAGAGGCGAAGGCGGCUACCUGGACAAUUGCUGACGCUCAGGCACGAAAGCGUGGGGAGCAAAAGGG